UCUCUUCGCUUCUACCAACCUCUUUACCACGAUCCCUACUUUGUUCUCUCCACCCACGCCCCACGCCGCAACCUCCUUUCCAAACACGCCGCCUCCAGCAACUUCACGCGCAGCAGGAUCUCGCUCGCGCCCAUGCCUGGAUGGAUCUCCCUGCUCCACUGAAGGCGCCGUGCAGGGCAGACACCUUAGUUGUCGAGGUCGCCGGGGCACCACCGGGACCGAGUAGAAGCUUCUUGAGGUCAUCGUCGGUGGCAGCCUUCCCUGGACGCGGGCGCCUCGGGGACGGCCCAGUCGCGCGGUCUCCCAGGAGGGUGCGGCAACGGCGUCGGGGGCGCAGGGCAGCAGACCGCGCAGCAGUUGAUCUAAAAAAUUCAGAACCCUGGUCGCAAUCCUCGCAUCUCCUUUUCCACGUCGCCUCCACGGAGAACUCCUCAUUUCAAGCGUGACGCCUUCAUAUUCACUGGAUGUUUCCCCGCGUCUUCGUCAACAGGCGCCGCCUAGGUUUGUCUCCUAGACACAAUUGAUCUCGAAGCAGCAACACAACGUGGUUGCCGGAUUAUGUGGCCAUAGUCAUGGGAGGAGCCGUGUUGCCGGUUACCUGUGCUCUUUGGCCGGAAAGACGUCUUUGGAGGCAUGGAGAGAUACCAUGGAGACGCAGUGGCGACUCCAGGGAACUAGACACGGACGCGGCAAGGAUUGAAUUAUGCCACAACUGCAGCGGUACGGUGAGGGGAUUUGACUCGUCGAAUCAUGGGCCACGGCGGCAAGCCCAACGCCCCUGCUCCGCCAAGCGCACCGACUUUGGCCCGACACAACCCAGCCAUGCCGCCCCGACCAUGGUUGCCAGAAUCACUGUGGGGUUCAUGCUCGGCGCAUGUGAUUCUGUAGUUCCGUUCAUGCUCCGCGCAUGUGGUUCUGUAGUUGCCUCACUGCCCAGUGUUAAGUGUUUGUGAAGGAGAUGACCACUAAAACAACACAGAAGUGCCUUGGUUAAUCCGAUUUAUCAUGGUGCGAUAUUCUUUUGUUGCUGCUGAUUAUACUAAUCAACUGUAAGUCUGCAUGUUUUCAGGGCGGACACUGCUGAAGAUCAAGAAAUCCUUCCGCAGUGUUGGCAACGUGUUGUAUGACAGACCCGACGACAGGGCAUGUGCGAGCUACUACUCCGGGCGUGACGUGCUCUAAACAACAUCACCUUCACCAUUUGUGAGAAGCUCUCUCUAGCAAAAUCUUAUGUUCUGUCGCCGGCUGCAGACCUGCAGUAUGCAAUUACUAACACGUGUUCAUGUGUGCAAUGACUGCAACCUCUGAGGGUUAAAUCUUGGUGGCAAAAUUUCCCCAGCCAUCAGGGAGGAUUCGAAGAGCAUUAUGUCAACGCAAAUGAGAUUGAUGAUUGUUCGUCGCUUAUCAUUGUAAGUGGGCUUCAGACUGAGUUCACAUGUCGCUCUAACCUAAUAGAUGGUUUUCAUUUUUUAUGAAUAAAACAAGUGACCACCCUAACUGAUUUGUUUACAUUAUUUAUGUUUAUGCUCCAUUUGAAUCUUAAUGUUUGUAUAAUGCCAAAAUAAUGAUUCUUCUGGUGCACACCAGUUGAGCCAGAAAAUUUUCCAUACUGCUAUUGUUUUUGCAGUCCAUGCCAUUUUCAUAUUCUGAAGUGAACGACCAAUUGAUACUUAUAGGCAUCGCUUGGGUUUCUCUGGAGAAGGUUCCAAUAGUGUUUUGAAAAGGUCAAAUUCUGGUUCGUGUGGGUUGCUACACUAUGUUUUCUUUUUGCUAAUUCUUGAGCUAAUUAUUGGUUGAGGAUUUACAUGUGAUAUUAGGUAUUUAGGGCAAUGGCAGUGCUAUGAGAUUAAUUAGCAUGUAAAUCUUUCACAAACAAGUUUAAUCACCUGUAAGUCUCCCAUGAUAUCUCCACAAGCUUUAUCGGCAAGGCAGUCCGAAUUUUUCAGCAUGCAAAGUUUCGAGAAGGACAAGUAUCUUGGUUAGAAAUAUUUGCCAGAAAUUGGAAGAACUACAUAUCCAUUAGUUCUGCUCUGCUCAGCUUGCUUUAGAAUGGAUUAUGUGUUAACUAAUUUCUAAUCUCAUUGUUGUGUCCUUGUAAACAAAAUGUGUUAGCAUGUCAGAGUUCAGUGUCAUUCAGUUUUUGUUAUGCAAAAACUGCAUAUAUCCAAUUAGUUCUGUUUGCUUUUACAGAGAGGUAUUUCUCUCCCUAAACUUUGUGUUAUCCAUUUGAAUUCCACUAGACAUAUCCCGCUUGCACAUAGUAGGUUUAUACUACAAGAGGCGCUAAACAUAGGACUUGUAAUAUAACCGGAUCUAUACACAUGAUUAAGUAUAUAUAUGCUCAAGCAACUACAGAAUCUCAAUUUUGUUUAUUGCAUAGACACUGUGUGCAUGCAUACAAUUUUUUUAAACAAUGGCUAUGUUGCAUGUUGGCGUCCCUAUGUUUCUAUCCACAAGGCUAUAUAUGUGACUUACCAUCAGAAAUAAAAUGAGUAAUAGUGGCUGAGGAGAAGCUACAUUCUGUAGCUAGCCGGGGAACUAGCACAAUAGAGAACAAUACAUCAUGUGUAUGAAUUCUGAACCAUGUAAAGAUGAGGAGAAUAAGUAAUCACAUGCCUUUUGUUACUCCGUUGUUCAUAUUUAGAACUAGAGAGAGGGAAAGACAGAGUUGCUAGCUCACACUACUUGAGACUGAAGGUUAUUAGGACUUAAAUUUUCUGUAUAGUACCACAUAUGAUGGCAUGUAGUUUUAGUAUAUACACAUACUUGAGAUGUUUCUGGGUAAAGGUGGAGCUAUGAAUCUAAGCUUAGCCUUUAUUGCUACUUUAUUCCUUAUUCUUUUUAGGGAACAAUAAUAUAGCAUGAUGAUGAAUUCAUAAGCUUCCAAGGGAGCGGAGUAUCCCUGGUCUUAAAACUUUUUGAGCUCCAUAAACAGGAAUGACAAAGUGAUAGCGCUAAUAAGGCGAAUUCAAAAUCAGAUUCAUAGGGUGAUUGUGAUUUUUCUUCCUGAGUUAUGUUUUGUUAACUUUAAAAUUUUCCCUAUCCCUUCACCCCUGCCGAGGCAUUGGUUGAUGUGAAGCCUGAAACAAAUCCAAUUCCACAAUUGUCGACAGUAAUGAGUGUGAGUUGCAGCGAUGUUGGGAUUGUCACAUGUCCUCCUUGAUUUAAUGUCUACCCUUCACAUGUUACCAUUUCUUGUAGGAAACAACAAGAGCUCGGCAACUAUUCAUUGGACUUGGAAUAAAUGCAGAAAUAAAAAAGAAGCUAUUGUAAGCGCACUGAUGAGGACUAGGCAGAGAAGUAGCCAAGCAUGAGAAAGUUCGUCAUCGUACUUUGUCUUGUAUUUCAAGUGUUACUUGGGUGUGGGGAAAUGGACAUUGUGAUUGCUGGGAAGGGAGUUGAGUGGGAGUAAGACAUAGGACUUUGUGAACAAAUUUAAAUUCUGAAGGGAAAGACCUUCGCGCUCAAUACAUGGUCAGAAAACUUCAUUGUGGAUUGUAUGAUCUAGCAACCAAUAUGCACUAAGUUUAUUUUUU
Molecule: non-coding RNA, 3536 nt
Organism: Aegilops tauschii subsp. strangulata
Lineage: Eukaryota; Viridiplantae; Streptophyta; Magnoliopsida; Poales; Poaceae
Source: RefSeq, a predicted model, not a curated record